RNAcentral lists this ribosomal RNA (381 nucleotides) under uncultured bacterium. RNAcentral's name for it is "bacterial SSU rRNA". It matches the Rfam family "Bacterial small subunit ribosomal RNA", at positions 524 to 902 of the family's 1533-position model. The record is from RNAcentral.
UACGGAGGGUGCAAGCGUUAAUCGGAAUUACUGGGCGUAAAGCGUGCGUAGGCGGUAAGUUAAGUCUGCUGUGAAAUCCCUGGGCUCAACCUGGGAAUGGCGGUGGAUACUGGCUUGCUGGAGUACGGUAGAGGAAGGUGGAAUUCCCGGUGUAGCGGUGAAAUGCGUAGAGAUCGGGAGGAACAUCAGUGGCGAAGGCGACCUUCUGGACCAGUACUGACGCUGAGGCACGAAAGCGUGGGGGAGCAAACAGGAUUAGAUACCCUGGUAGUCCACGCCCUAAACGAUGCGAACUGGAGGUUGGGUGCAACUUGGCACGCAGUCUCGAAGCUAACGCGUUAAGUUCGCCGCCUGGGGAGUACGGUCGCAAGACUGAAACUC